This is a non-coding RNA of Saccharomyces cerevisiae S288C, 489 nucleotides long. The record is from RefSeq. Lineage: Eukaryota; Fungi; Ascomycota; Saccharomycetes; Saccharomycetales; Saccharomycetaceae.
GAUCCAUAGCAGUCCUAUUGAUAGUAUGCAGUAAUUUUAGCGCAUAGAAAACGUUUAUAUUGGGUCGAAUGCUCAAUUAUUUUCAGAUGGAGGAAUACCUUGAAGAAAAUAUAUAUAUAUAAAGACGCACUAUUCAAAUAAUCAUCAGUGCCAACAUUAACUGUUUCCCUAAGAUGCGUUCAGUUGUGAUUCUUUUUUUUUUAUGUCGCAACUGUCUGUCGUAGUUCUGUCAGCUAAUGUUACGAGAAUGUCCAACUGCAGUGUUAGGUUUCUGAAAGAUGAGAAAGUUUCUGCCGGAUAAGUUAUCAACGAAAUUAUGGUGAAUACUUGAGGUAUGUGACUAGGAUGGUAGCGCCGCUAGAACGCCAAAAUCAGAACGAAGAUUUUGGUUUCUGCCGAACAAUUUUUACUAUAUUAAUAAAAAUGAAGGAACAUUCUUAAAUUAUUGACACCUAUUUUUGCAUAAUUCAUUAUUUCUACGUAUAACUU